UACGGAGGAUGCGAGCGUUAUCCGGAUUUAUUGGGUUUAAAGGGUGCGCAGGCGGAAUGUCAAGUCAGCGGUAAAAUUUCGGGGCUCAACCCCGGCCUGCCGUCGGAACUGGGUGCCUUGAGUGGGCGAGAAGUAUGCGGAAUGCGUGGUGUAGCGGUGAAAUGCAUAGAUAUCACACAGAACACCGAUUGCGAAGGCAUCUCACGAAUCCGCGAUUGACGCUGAUGCACGAAAGCGUGGGUAUCAAACAGG
This 252-nucleotide ribosomal RNA is filed under the name uncultured Bacteroidales bacterium. Its description in RNAcentral is "partial 16S ribosomal RNA". It matches the Rfam family "Bacterial small subunit ribosomal RNA", at positions 524 to 776 of the family's 1533-position model. Lineage: Bacteria; Pseudomonadati; Bacteroidota; Bacteroidia; Bacteroidales. The record is from RNAcentral.